GACGAACGCUGGCGGUGUGCUUCACACAUGCAAGUCGAACGAGUGGCGGACGGGUGAGUAACGCGUGGGAAUCUGCCUUUAGAUGGGGGAUAACGAGCCGAAAGGUUCGCUAAUACCGCAUAAGAGAUGAGCCCGCGUCCGAUUAGCUAGUUGGUAGGGUAAAGGCCUACCAAGGCGACGAUCGGUAGCUGGUCUGAGAGGAUGAUCAGCCACAAUGGGACUGAGACACGGCCCAGACUCCUACGGGAGUCAGCAGUGGGGAAUAUUGCACAAUGGGCGCAAGCCUGAUGCAGCCAUGCCGCGUGUGUGAAGAAGGCCUUCGGGUUGUAAAGCACUUUCAGCGAGGAGGCGUUACUCGCAGAAGAAGCACCGGCUAACUCCGUGCCAGCAGCCGCGGUAAUAC
This 403-nucleotide ribosomal RNA is filed under the name uncultured bacterium. RNAcentral describes it as "partial 16S ribosomal RNA". It matches the Rfam family "Bacterial small subunit ribosomal RNA", at positions 28 to 526 of the family's 1533-position model. The record is from RNAcentral.